AGCAGUCGCGGUAAUUCCAGCUCCAAUAGCGUAUAUUAAAGUUGUUGCAGUUAAAAAGCUCGUAGUUGAAUUUCGGGAUCAAUAUUUCGGUCAUGCCGUUGGUAUGCACUGUUAUCAUUGAUUUCUCACCUUCUAAAGAACCGUAAUGCCAUUAAUUUGGUGUUACGGGGAAUUAGGACUGUUACCUUGAAAAAUUAGAGUGUUUAAAGCAGGCUCACGCUUGAAUACAUUAGCAUGGAAUAAUGAAAUAGGACAUCCGAUUCUAUUUUGUUGGUUUCUAGGAUCGAUGUAAUGAUUAAUAGGGAUAGUUGGGGGCAUUAGUAUUCAAUUGUCAGAGGUGAAAUUCUUGGAUUUAUUGAAGACUAACUACUGCGAAAGCAUUUGCCAAGGAUGUUUUCAUUAAUCAAGAACGAAAGUUAGGGGAUCGAAGACGAUCAGAUACCGCCGUAGUCUUAACCAUAAACUAUGCCGACUAGGGAUCGGAUAAUGUUUAAUUUUUAAUUGUACUCUA
This 511-nucleotide ribosomal RNA is filed under the name uncultured Glomeraceae. RNAcentral's name for it is "SSU rRNA". It matches the Rfam family "Eukaryotic small subunit ribosomal RNA", at positions 569 to 1083 of the family's 1831-position model. The record is from RNAcentral. Lineage: Eukaryota; Fungi; Glomeromycota; Glomeromycetes; Glomerales; Glomeraceae.